AGGACCCGUCUUGAAACACGGACCAAGGAGUCUAACAUGUGCGCGAGUCAUUGGGACUUGUAAAGCCUAAAGGCGCAAUGAAAGUGAAGGUCGUCCUUAGCGUCGACCGAGGGAGGAUGGCUCGCGUCACGAUGCGAGCCCGCACUCCCGGGGCGUCUCGUGCUCAUUACGAGCAGAGGCGCACCCAGAGCGUACACGUUGGGACCCGAAAGAUGGUGAACUAUGCCUGGUCAGGACGAAGUCAGGGGAAACCCUGAUGGAGGUCCGUAGCGAUUCUGACGUGCAAAUCGAUCGUCGGAACUGGGUAUAGGGGCGAAAGACUAAUCGAACCAUCUAGUAGCUGGUUCCCUCCGAAGUUUCCCUCAGGAUAGCUGGCACUCGCUUGAGCGAGUCUCAUCUGGUAAAGCGAAUGAUUAGAGGCCUUGGGGCCGAAACGACCUCAACCUAUUCUCAAACUUUAAAUGGGUGAGAUCUCUGGCUUGCUUGAACGUUGAAGCCACGAGAUGCAAUUCGUUGCAAUGGAUCAAAGUGCCAAGUGGGCCAAUUUUGGUAAGCAGAACUGGCGCUGUGGG
RNAcentral lists this ribosomal RNA (572 nucleotides) under Pediobius sp. D2195. Its description in RNAcentral is "eukaryotic LSU rRNA". It matches the Rfam family "Eukaryotic large subunit ribosomal RNA", at positions 644 to 1162 of the family's 3401-position model. The record is from RNAcentral. Lineage: Eukaryota; Metazoa; Arthropoda; Insecta; Hymenoptera; Eulophidae.